Molecule: long non-coding RNA, 1432 nt
Filed under: Oryza sativa (Asian cultivated rice)
Lineage: Eukaryota; Viridiplantae; Streptophyta; Magnoliopsida; Poales; Poaceae
Description: long non-coding RNA (OSAT_LNC001056)
Source: RNAcentral
GGAGUCUGUCAUCGAGGAGAUCAUCCGUGAGGUUGAAGACGAUGUUGGUGAUGAAGCUGCCUUCCUGCAGUCUGUCUCUCAAUCCAUGGAUCGCCGUCUGGGUGAAUUAUCCAAGAAAAAAAAAAGUAAUGUAAGUAUACAAGAUUAACUGGUUGCCUCCCUCUACUCAUAUCAUAGAUAAAUAACGUCAAUAAAAAGGGCCAAGCUAAACUAAUUAAAAGGGACAGAGGAAAAGGUUGUACUAGUGUACUUGAGUUAUAAACUUUUUGUGCAGCUGACAAUUGAGUGUACAUGUAAUCAGCAGUGGAUUUAAAGGCCUUGAGGGCGUGUACCCUUUUUUUUCUUUCAUGUGGUUUAAUUAUGUGGAAAAUUUGACUACAUGCAUCACCUAUUUUCCACAAACAUCAUGAUCAAACUUAAUAUAACUCUGAAUUCUCGCUUAAUUUACGCAUGGUCAAACUUACAUGUAACUGCAAAGAAACAAAAAUAACAAAAAUCAAUACAUGUCGCGUGACCGCGCAUUUCGCUAUCUGUUUUGCUUUUCUUAUUUUCUCUCCAUGUGUAGAUAGAAUAUGAUCUCGGUGUUUGUGCUGUCAUAAUUAGGGUUAAACUUUUCGGUUUAGCUAAUUUGAUUGGUCCUCACCGAAAUGCCGAAAUUUCUGAAAUUUCGGAUAUUACCAAAAUUCACAAAAAAAUUUAAAAAUUUAGGCUGAAAUAAUAUCGUAUCGGAGGGGUCUGAAAUGACCGAAAUUUUAGAAAUUUUGUUCCGGAAUUUCCAACCCUGGUCAUAAUAUGUAUAUGAUACCGAGUAUAAUCUAUCUUGUCAUGUUUUUUUUUUCAGAUUUUCUCGUAACUAUUUUGAUCAUCUACAAGAAACAGCACACUCCAUUAACAGUACAAAACAUUUUCCCUAUAGAGCAUCUUUACUAUCUUUGAAAAGGUACCAUGAGGUAGCAAUAUAAUCUAACCGUUGGUUUAGAAAUGGGUAUGAUCGGGCUAAAGAAAUUACCGUCGUUGCAUCAAGGCUGUCGUGGCUGCCGUCGCAUCGAGGCCGCCGCCGCCGCGCCCGCCGUCGCAUCGAGUUUGCUGUUCACAUGUGUUGCUUUUGGAAGCACGUGUGUUGCUGUCCGUCCUCUCCAGUUGCUGUCCAUAAAAAACCUUCCAUCGCGACCUCGCUCGUUGUUCGAUGUUUGCUGUGGCCUCAACGAAGACGAAGAUGACGCCGCCUGCCUGACGAGGAGUUCCUGGUUGUCUUUGCGACCAGCAGCUGGGGCCUAUGUGGCGGUGGCUCCCGUGGUGCUAGCAGCUGCACGGGGCGCGCUGGUGGCUAGCCGACGCGCCACGACGACGCUAGUGGUGAGCGGCCGAUGCCGAUGCCGCCGCCCAGGUGUGACCGCUAGGGGAGAGGAGAAGAAAGAGUAUGCGAAAAGAC